GAGAAACGAGAAGCCAUACGGCAGCUUUGCAUUUUGAUUGAUUAUCACCGCGUCCGAUACGACGGCAUAAUCGAAAGCUUACUCUCCAAAGUUCCAGGCAGACGGCAGAGGGCAACUGCUUAGACAGAGAGCCUCUUAUCUCCAUUCUUCUCAAAUUUUUACCCUUCAUAUGCACUAUCAGUCAUUUUUUCGAUUGUUUGUUUUUUUUGGCCUCUCAAGUGGCAGUGUUCAUAUCUGAACAUAAGGUUUUUCUUUUCUUCUUACUGAACAUUUCUAGUCAGUACAUAAUAAUCGAAGGAUUGGCUUGUUUGCAACUCCAGAAAUGUUCAGUGUAUGAAACCCAGCCAUCUACUCUGUCCAGAACUCUCCUUCCUCCAAAU
Molecule: long non-coding RNA, 380 nt
Filed under: Linum usitatissimum (flax)
Lineage: Eukaryota; Viridiplantae; Streptophyta; Magnoliopsida; Malpighiales; Linaceae
Description: long non-coding RNA (LUSI_LNC002324)
Source: RNAcentral